This 125-nucleotide small RNA is filed under the name Marmota monax (woodchuck). The record is from RNAcentral. Lineage: Eukaryota; Metazoa; Chordata; Mammalia; Rodentia; Sciuridae.
GUCAGGUACAGUGGUGCACACCUGUAAUCCCAGCAACUCUGGAGGCUGAGGCAGGAGGAUUGCAAGUUCAAAGCCAACCUCAGCAACAGCAAGGUGCUAAGCAACUCAGUGAGACCCUGUCUCUA